GACAACAGGCUCGCAGUCACCGGAGCAGCAGUGCACUACUGACAGACAACGUGCAGAAAAUUGAAAGAAGAUAAAAAUCACACACAGCUAAAUGAACCAGAGAAAAGAACGAAGGUGGAUUUUGGAUGGCGCCCUUGCUUUCCGAUGGGCAGACUUGUUGCGUAGCAAACCUUUGCUGGUCUUCAGACCCCCAUCCAAGGUUAAGGGCCUGACCUUUGACAGAGGGACACUUAUCAGGCGAUGGGAAGAGGCGGCAGGGGGCUCAGAUGCUCCCACGCCACCACAGUUCACCUCGAUCUGUGACCCGGGAGUGCGCCUGUUCCGCAGCUGCUCUAACUCAGCCUGGAACCGGCCGCGCUUGCCGGGUCCAGCCACUGAGCCACCCGGUCCACGGAACCCUAGACAGGCGCGUAGGAGCCCCGCCG
Molecule: long non-coding RNA, 425 nt
Filed under: Cricetulus griseus (Chinese hamster)
Lineage: Eukaryota; Metazoa; Chordata; Mammalia; Rodentia; Cricetidae
Description: lncRNA (ENSCGRG00000026647.1)
Source: RNAcentral